CGUCCUCCAUCCUCCGUUCUUCAUCCUCCGUCCUCCAUCCCCCAUCCUCCGUCCUUCAUCCUCCGUCCUUCAUCCUUCGUCCUCCGUCCUCAUCUCUUCAUCCUCCGUCCUCCAUCCCCCAUCCUCCGUCCUUCAUCCUUCGUCCUCCUUUCCUUCAUCCUCCGUCCUCCAUUCUUCAUCCUCCGUCCUCCUUUCUUCAUCCUCCGUCCUCCAUCCCCCAUCCUCCAUUCUUCAUCCUCCGUCCUCCUUUCUUCAUCCUCCGUCCUCCGUCCUCUGUCCUCGGUCCUCCGUCCUCCAUUCUUCAUCCUCCAUCCUCCAUCCUCCUUCGCCUCCUACGCCCUCCUUUCUUCAUCCUCCGUCCUCCGUCCUCUGUCCUCCGUCCUCCAUCCUCCAUUCUUCAUCCUCCGUCCUUCAUCCUCCAUCCUCCGUCCUUCUUCCUCUGUCCUCCAUCCUCCGUUCUUCAUCCUCCAUCCUCCGUCCUUCUUCCUCCGUCCUUCAUCCUCCAUCCUCCGUCCAUCUUCCUCUGUCCUCCAUCCUCCGUUCUUCAUCCUCCUUCCUCCGUCCUCUCCUCCGUCCUCCUUCCUCCGUCAUCCUUCCUUCGUCCUCCUUCCUCCGUCCGUCCUUCGUCCUCUGUCCAUCAUCCUCCGUCCUUCAUCCUCCAUCCUCCGUCCUCUGUCCUUCAUCCUCCGUCAUCCAUCCUCCUUCCUCCGUCCUUCGUCCUCCUUCCUCCUCCUUCCUCCGUCCUCCGUCCUCCUUCCUCCUCCUCCUUCCUCCUUCCUCCGUCCUCCGUCCUCCGUCCUUCGUCCUCAAUCCUCCGUCCUCCUCCCUGAAUCGUCCCUCUCUGAAACGUCUCGGUUGUGGAAAUGAGUAGAUUUUGAAUCAUAAACAGUUUUUCUUCCUGGCGAGCGAGGAACAUUAACACGAUCCCCCUGAAGCGUGACAGAGACGUUUAGUCCUCCAACAGAUAAAGCAGCUUUUUAAAUUUGCAAUCAGACGCCAAAUUGUCCUCCAAAGUGUUAUCGCACGAGUUGGUUUUCAUUACAGUUUCCCCUCAAAGUGCCUUAUUUGGUGCAAUGUAUUUUUUGUUUUGUGGAGAUAAUGUUUGGCGUUGAUUAAAAGACCUGACCCCCCGUGUACCUGCGCCUCCAGCUCCGCUCGCAGCAUCGUUCCAUCUCACUGCUUUUCACAGGAACACUGUAUGUGAACGGGCGCAAUAUUUGCCAGUGGGAACCAAUCAAUUAA
RNAcentral lists this long non-coding RNA (1242 nucleotides) under Scophthalmus maximus (turbot). RNAcentral's name for it is "lncRNA (ENSSMAG00000022171.1)". The record is from RNAcentral. Lineage: Eukaryota; Metazoa; Chordata; Actinopteri; Pleuronectiformes; Scophthalmidae.